This 72-nucleotide transfer RNA is filed under the name Paramuricea clavata. It matches the Rfam family "tRNA". Rfam says of the family: Transfer RNA (tRNA) molecules are approximately 80 nucleotides in length. Their secondary structure includes four short double-helical elements and three loops (D, anti-codon, and T loops). Lineage: Eukaryota; Metazoa; Cnidaria; Anthozoa; Malacalcyonacea; Plexauridae. The record is from Rfam by way of RNAcentral.
GCCUCUGUAGCUCAGUUGGUUAGAGCGCUGCACCGGAAUCUCAGACCGUGGGUUCAAUUCCUACCAGAGGAC